GACGAACGCUGGCGGCGUGCUUAACACAUGCAAGUCGAACGAUGAAGCUGGAGCUUGCUCCGGUGGAUUAGUGGCGAACGGGUGAGUAACACGUGAGCAAUCCGCCCUUGACUCUGGGAUAACUGCGGGAAACUGUAGCUAAUACCGGAUACUUUCACUGGAAGGCAUCUUCUGGUGAAGAAAGAAUUUCGGUCAAGGAUGAGCUCGCGGCCUAUCAGCUUGUUGGUGAGGUAACGGCUCACCAAGGCGACGACGGGUAGCCGGCCUGAGAGGGUGACCGGCCACACUGGGACUGAGACACGGCCCAGACUCCUACGGGAGGCAGCAGUGGGGAAUAUUGCACAAUGGGCGCAAGCCUGAUGCAGCAACGCCGCGUGAGGGAUGAAGGCCUUCGGGUUGUAAACCUCUUUUAGCAGGGAAGAAGCGAAAGUGACGGUACCUGCAGAGGAAGCACCGGCUAACUACGUGCCAGCCGCCGCGGUAA
This 484-nucleotide ribosomal RNA is filed under the name uncultured bacterium. RNAcentral's name for it is "partial 16S ribosomal RNA". It matches the Rfam family "Bacterial small subunit ribosomal RNA", at positions 28 to 523 of the family's 1533-position model. The record is from RNAcentral.